RNAcentral lists this ribosomal RNA (497 nucleotides) under uncultured bacterium. Its description in RNAcentral is "partial 16S ribosomal RNA". It matches the Rfam family "Bacterial small subunit ribosomal RNA", at positions 28 to 507 of the family's 1533-position model. The record is from RNAcentral.
GAUGAACGCUGGCGGUGUGCCUAACACAUGCAAGUCGAACGGACAGACGAGAAGCUCGUUCCUUUAACGGUAGCGGCGGGCGGGUGGGUGACGCGUACAUAGCCUACCUCUAUUACUGGGAGGAUUUCGGGAGACAGGUUCCACUACUACCGAAUACAUUCAACCGGUUGAAUCAGGGGUGAUUGACGGCUUUGCUGUUUCUAAUAGCUGAUUCCGUGUCGCAUUAGCUAGUUGGUAAGGUAACGGCCCACCAAGGCGACGAUGCGUAGCUGACCUGAGAGGAUGAUCAGCCACACUGGAACUGAGACACGGUCCAGACUCCUACGGGAGGCAGCAGUGGGGAAUAUUGGACAAUGGGCGCAAGCCUGAUCCAGCCAUACCGCGUGGGUGAAGAAGGCCUUCGGGUUGUAAAGCCCUUUUGUUGGGAAAGAAAAGCAGCAGGUUAAUACCCCGCUGUUCUGACGGUACCCAAAGAAUAAGCACCGGCUAACUUCGUG